UGUCAGUGAAAAAAAUUACGCCGCGUUCUUUGAAAUUCAACGGCGCCAUUUCUGAAAAUAUCAACGCUACACAACACAGCUGCUUGUCAACGUCGGCGGUGUUUCUGUCAUUUGUACUUUAAUUUUCACUGAUAUCAUUUUAUUAACUUGGUGUUUUUGGUUGCUGUAAUUUAAAUUAAAAAAAAAAAUUAAUAAACAUUAAAAAAAUGUCGAAUAAUUCGAAUCUAUCUGUGGCUGUGGUCUGUUCCUCAAACAUGAAUCGUUCAAUGGAGGCGCAUCAUUUCCUAGCGAAGAAGGGCUUCAACGUGCGUUCCUUUGGCACUGGUGAACGCGUAAAACUCCCAGGCACAGCUAUUGAUAAACCAAAUGUAUACGAAUUUGGCACACCUUACGACACAAUCUAUCAGGAUCUGCUUACAAAAGAUAAACAAUACUACACACAAAACGGGUUACUUCAUAUGCUUGACCGUAAUCGAAGAAUUAAAAAGUGUCCAGAACGCUUUCAGGAAUGCAAAGAACAAUUCGAUAUUAUUGUGACCGUGGAAGAGCGUGUCUACGACCAGGUGUUGGAACACAUGGAGUCUUGUGAUCCCAUAGACAAUCGACCUGUACACGUAUUCAAUGUGGAUAUUGAGGACAAUCAUGAAGAGGCUUUAAUGGGCGCCUUUCUUAUCACGGACAUGAUAAAUAUGAUGGCGAAAUCAACCGACCUGGAUAACGAUAUUGACGAAUUGCUGCAAGAAUUCGAGUCUCGGCGCAAUAAAACUGUUCUGCAUUCGGUACUUUUCUACUGACAAUUGUUUAAGCUGUAGAUGGAAAUCAAAAUAACGAAAUGGAAAUCAUUAAAUGUAUUGUUGGCAAAAUUCGGUUUGUUAAUGCAAGUGCACCAAACGGAGGUUGUGGCAUAAUUUUUGUGGAUCUAGCAGAAAAAAAAACAUAUGAAAUGAAACAAAGGAUGGCGAAACUAAUACUGUAGUUAUUGAAAAAUAAAUGUACGCAAGUAAUCAAAAUCCAAGCAAAGUUGAGGUAACCCAACUCAUUUGGUGAAGAACAAAUGCUUAUAAAAACUCAUUCAUGCCAUGCUGGUAUGUAUGCACUUGUAAGCGCGUCUAAAAAUGCAAAAAUAUAAUUAUCUUGCAGAAUAUAUGAAAUAAAAUAUAAACAGAUAUUUUACAAAUUUGUA
RNAcentral lists this unclassified non-coding RNA (1183 nucleotides) under Bactrocera latifrons. Its description in RNAcentral is "rNA polymerase II subunit A C-terminal domain phosphatase SSU72, transcript variant X1". The record is from RNAcentral. Lineage: Eukaryota; Metazoa; Arthropoda; Insecta; Diptera; Tephritidae.